UCCUACGGGAGGCAGCAGUAGGGAAUCUUCCACAAUGGGCGAAAGCCUGAUGGAGCAACGCCGCGUGGGUGAAGAAGGUCUUCGGAUCGUAAAACCCUGUUGUUAGAGAAGAAAGUGCGUGAGAGUAACUGUUCACGUUUCGACGGUAUCUAACCAGAAAGCCACAGCUAACUACGUGCCAGCAGCCGCGGUAAUGCGUAGGUGGCAAGCGUUAUCCGGAUUUAUUGGGCGUAAAGGGAACGCAGGCGGUCUUUUAAGUCUGAUGUGAAAGCCUUCGGCUUAACCUGAGACGUGCAUUGGAAACU
This 305-nucleotide ribosomal RNA is filed under the name uncultured bacterium. Its description in RNAcentral is "bacterial SSU rRNA". It matches the Rfam family "Bacterial small subunit ribosomal RNA", at positions 337 to 634 of the family's 1533-position model. The record is from RNAcentral.